RNAcentral lists this ribosomal RNA (254 nucleotides) under uncultured bacterium. RNAcentral describes it as "partial 16S ribosomal RNA". It matches the Rfam family "Bacterial small subunit ribosomal RNA", at positions 524 to 776 of the family's 1533-position model. The record is from RNAcentral.
UACGUAGGGGGCAAGCGUUGUCCGGAUUAUUGGGCGUAAAGGGCGCGUAGGCGGUGCGGUAAGUCUGCAGUGAAAUCUCUGGGCUCAACUCAGAGUCUGCUGUAGAAACUGCCGUGCUUGAGUGUGGGAGAGGUGAGUGGAAUUCCCGGUGUAGCGGUGAAAUGCGUAGAUAUCGUAAGGAAGACCAGUGGCGAAGGCGGGUCUCGUGGACAGUUCCUGACGCUGAGGCACGGAAGGUCAGGGGAGCAAACGGG